This 233-nucleotide long non-coding RNA is filed under the name Lathyrus oleraceus (garden pea). Its description in RNAcentral is "Pisum sativum (pea) long non-coding RNA (PSAT_LNC020883)". The record is from RNAcentral. Lineage: Eukaryota; Viridiplantae; Streptophyta; Magnoliopsida; Fabales; Fabaceae.
ACAGUUCAAACUGAGGUUGAACCAGAAUAAGUGCACUUUCAGAGUGCGGGCCGGUAAGCUGCUUGGGGUUCAUUGUAAGAGAGUAAUCGAGGUUGAUCCUGCAAAAAAAAAAAAAAAAAAAAGAAAAUAAAAAUAGAAAGAAAAGCAAUAAGAGAAAUGCCUGAACCGAGAAUAGAAAAAGAGGUUCGUGGUCUAUUAGGUAGAUUGAACUACAUGUCAUGGUUCACAUCUCC